Molecule: ribosomal RNA, 433 nt
Filed under: uncultured bacterium
Lineage: Bacteria
Description: partial 16S ribosomal RNA
Rfam family: Bacterial small subunit ribosomal RNA
Source: RNAcentral
AACGAACGCUGGCGGCAUGCCUAACACAUGCAAGUCGAACGAGACCUUCGGGUCUAGUGGCGCACGGGUGCGUAACGCGUGGGAACCUGCCCUUAGGUUCGGAAUAACUCCCCGAAAGGGGUGCUAAUACCGGAUAAUGUCUUCGGACCAAAGAUUUAUCGCCUUUGGAUGGGCCCGCGUUGGAUUAGCUAGUUGGUAGGGUAAAAGCCUACCAAGGCGACGAUCCAUAGCUGGGCUGAGAGGAUGAUCAGCCACACUGGGACUGAGACACGGCCCAGACUCCUACGGGAGGCAGCAGUGGGGAAUAUUGGACAAUGGGCGAAAGCCUGAUCCAGCAAGGCCGCGUGAGUGAUGAAGGCCUUAGGGUUGUAAAGCUCUUUUACCCGGGAUGAUAAUGACAGUACCGGGAGAAUAAGCUCCGGCUAACUCCGUG